UCCAGACUCCUACGGGAGGCAGCAGUGGGGAAUAUUGGUCAAUGGGCGGGAGCCUGAACCAGCCAAGUCGCGUGAGGGAAGACGGUCCUACGGAUUGUAAACCUCUUUUGCCGGGGAGCAACGGGGUCCUUGCGAGGGCCCGAUGAGAGUACCCGGAGAAAAAGCAUCGGCUAACUCCGUGCCAGCAGCCGCGGUAAUACGGAGGAUGCGAGCGUUAUCCGGAUUUAUUGGGUUUAAAGGGUGCGUAGGCGGAGUGUCAAGUCAGCGGUAAAAUUUCGGGGCUCAACCCCGUCGUGCCGUUGAAACUGACACCCUUGAGUGAGUGAGAAGUAAGCGGAAUGCGUGGUGUAGCGGUGAAAUGCAUAGAUAUCACGCAGAACUCCGAUUGCGAAGGCAGCAUGCCGGCUCCACACUGACGCUGAGGCACGAAAGCGUGGGUAUCGAACAGGAUUAGAUACCCGAGUAAA
This 467-nucleotide ribosomal RNA is filed under the name uncultured bacterium. Its description in RNAcentral is "bacterial SSU rRNA". It matches the Rfam family "Bacterial small subunit ribosomal RNA", at positions 330 to 794 of the family's 1533-position model. The record is from RNAcentral.